GCCCUUACACAUGAGCUACAUUUAUCACCUUGUAUGACAAUGUCGUUCCUGGCUUCAGACUCAAUGUAAACUCAUUUGUUCUGCUGAAGCAUGUGUUUUAUAUUGUCACUUGGCCAACUCUCCUGUUACACCUGUCUCCUGGGAGGUGGCGAGGAGACUCCUCCAUUCUUUAACUCACACACACACACACACACACACACACUUUUUUUUUUAGUUUAGUAUAUGUUGUUGUAAAUUAAAGAAAAUAUACUGGAAUAGAAAUUUUCAAAUAUCAGGAAAAUCAGAUAACUUUGAUAUUUUAUCAAAAAUCUAUAUGGAAUUUGGAAAAAACACACUGUGUUUAGAGUGUCAAUUGUUAAGUCAACAACUGGAGUCACUGUGCACUUACUCCUCAUGUAGGAUCUCUGUCUUUAAUGUGUUGUACAAUGUGAAUUAAUGCUAUAACUAAUAUUCAAACAGUACUUUACACUUUGUGUUUCUGUGUGGGUGCAAACUGUUGAAAUCUUUACUUACUAUAUACUAAAUUGAUCUUCUGUAUAUAAAGAGAAUUGAAAAUGAAUCUUGAUGCAAAUGGAAUGGGAGAGGGAGCGGGAGAUGGGAGGGCUGCGGGUGGGAGGGAAGUUAUAGGGGGGAGGGGAAGCCACUGAAAUCCAAAAGCUGUACUUUGGAAAUUUAUAUUUAUUAAAUAAAAGUUAAAAAAAUACAGUGUGUUUAAAAACUUGUAAUAAAAUUAUAAUAUAAUAUAAUAAAAAUAUAAUAGUAUUCUAUAAUAGGAGAUUGCAUUAUUCAUUGGACUAUGAAAAUAAAGCAUCAAUAAAAUAUUUUAGGUCCAUAUUUACAGAUUACAGCAUAGCUUUUGCAAACAUUGAUACUCCUCAAAAUGUUGGUAAAGUGGGGAAUAACAGCAGUAUGUAGUAGACAGAAAUUAUUCCCUAGUGCUGGAAGGUCCAUGGAUAUUUAUUUCAAGAUAGCAUCCAAUAUUACACAGAAUAUUAUAUGCAACCAAGUAACAUGUAGAAAAUUUAACCUUUUUCUAUUUUUUUUGCAGGUGAACUCAGCUUUUACUUCAUUUAUCUUCCUGAGAGGCUAGUGCACUGGCACAAAGGACAUCAAUGCACAUCAGCAGUGACUUGAGUUUACCACGAAAGAACUGGGAGAACAACAUUAGAAGACAUGGGCCCAACUGAGUCUCCUCUGCCCCUGCCCGGUGAGCACUAGAUUUCCCAGAGAGAAGGCAUUACUUUAGAAUUGCUAAGGGUAUCAGGUAACAAAGAAAAAUAAAGCCACAGUUAACAAAGAAUAAAGCA
Molecule: long non-coding RNA, 1307 nt
Filed under: Oryctolagus cuniculus (rabbit)
Lineage: Eukaryota; Metazoa; Chordata; Mammalia; Lagomorpha; Leporidae
Description: lncRNA (ENSOCUG00000039359.1)
Source: RNAcentral